Molecule: non-coding RNA, 64 nt
Organism: Phrynosoma platyrhinos (Desert horned lizard)
Lineage: Eukaryota; Metazoa; Chordata; Lepidosauria; Squamata; Phrynosomatidae
Source: the annotation of a GenBank genome assembly
GGCACAGUGGCUUGAAUGUUGGACUACAACUCUAAAGACCAUGGUUCGAUUCCCAGCUGAGCCA